This 20-nucleotide unclassified non-coding RNA is filed under the name Chlamydomonas reinhardtii. RNAcentral describes it as "small RNA Cre_2091". Lineage: Eukaryota; Viridiplantae; Chlorophyta; Chlorophyceae; Chlamydomonadales; Chlamydomonadaceae. The record is from RNAcentral.
GUUGACGGUUACAGCAGUUC